RNAcentral lists this ribosomal RNA (301 nucleotides) under uncultured bacterium. RNAcentral describes it as "partial 16S ribosomal RNA". It matches the Rfam family "Bacterial small subunit ribosomal RNA", at positions 509 to 807 of the family's 1533-position model. The record is from RNAcentral.
CAGCCGCCGCGGUAAUACGAAGGGUGCAAGCGUUACUCGGAAUUACUGGGCGUAAAGCGUGCGUAGGCGGUGAGUUAAGUCUGCUGUGAAAUCCCCGGGCUCAACCUGGGAAUGGCAGUGGAUACUGGCUCGCUAGAGUGUGUCAGAGGAUGGUGGAAUUCCCGGUGUAGCGGUGAAAUGCGUAGAGAUCGGGAGGAACAUCAGUGGCGAAGGCGGCCAUCUGGGACAACACUGACGCUGAGGCACGAAAGCGUGGGGAGCAAACAGGAUUAGAUACCCCUGUAGUCCCUGUCUCUUAUAC